GAUGAACGCUGGCGGCGCGCCUAACACAUGCAAGUCGAACGAUUAAAGCACCUUCGGGUGUGUAUAAAGUGGCGAACGGCUGAGUAACACGUGGGCAACCUGCCCCUUUCAUUGGGAUAGCCACGGGAAACCGUGGAUAAUACCGAAUACUUCGAGACUUCCGCAUGGAAGACUCGAGAAAGCUCCGGCGGUGAGGGAUGGGCCCGCGGCCUGUUAGCUUGUUGGUGGGGUAACGGCCUACCAAGGCAAUGAUGGGUAGCUGGGUUGAGAGACCGACCAGCCAGAUUGGGACUGAGACACGGCCCAGACUCCUACGGGAGGCAGCAGUGGGGAAUCUUGCACAAUGGGCGAAAGCCUGAUGCAGCGACGCAGCGUGCGGGAUGAAGGCCUUCGGGUUGUAAACCGCUUUCAGCAGGGAAGAGGAGAAAGUGACGGUAACUGAAGAAGAAGCCCCGGCUAACUACGUG
Molecule: ribosomal RNA, 467 nt
Filed under: uncultured bacterium
Lineage: Bacteria
Description: partial 16S ribosomal RNA
Rfam family: Bacterial small subunit ribosomal RNA
Source: RNAcentral